GCGUGAGUGAAGAAGGCCUUAGGGUUGUAAAGCUCUUUCAACGGUGAAGAUAAUGACGGUAGCCGUAGAAGAAGCCCCGGCUAACUUCGUGCCAGCAGCCGCGGUAAUACGAAGGGGGCUAGCGUUGUUCGGAAUUACUGGGCGUAAAGCGCACGUAGGCGGAUCGUUAAGUCAGGGGUGAAAUCCCGGGGCUCAACCCCGGAACUGCCCUUGAUACUGGCGGUCUCGAGUUCGAGAGAGGUGAGUGGAAUUCCGAGUGUAGAGGUGAAAUUCGU
This 275-nucleotide ribosomal RNA is filed under the name uncultured bacterium. Its description in RNAcentral is "partial 16S ribosomal RNA". It matches the Rfam family "Bacterial small subunit ribosomal RNA", at positions 399 to 691 of the family's 1533-position model. The record is from RNAcentral.